RNAcentral lists this ribosomal RNA (455 nucleotides) under uncultured bacterium. RNAcentral's name for it is "bacterial SSU rRNA". It matches the Rfam family "Bacterial small subunit ribosomal RNA", at positions 49 to 507 of the family's 1533-position model. The record is from RNAcentral.
UUAGGCAUGCAAGUCGUACGCAUAGCUUCGGCUAUGAGUGGCGCAAGGGUGAGUAAUGCGAAGGUAACCAACCCUGGUGUUGGGCAUAGCCGCGGGAAACUGGCGGGUAAUUCCCAGCGACGUCACGAGAUGGGCAUCAUCUUGUGACCAAAGGUGUGAUUCCGCUCUAGGACGGGCCUUCGUGGUAUUAGGUAGUUGGUGAGGUAACGGCUCACCAAGCCGACGAUGCCUACCGGGUGUGAGAGCAUGACCCGGCACACUGGAACUGAGACACUGUCCAGACACCUACGGGUGGCUGCAGUCGAGAAUCUUCGGCAAUGGGCGAAAGCCUGACCGAGCGACGCCGCGUGAGGGAUUGAAGGCCUUCGGGUUGUAAACCUCUUUCGUAGAGGAGGAAGGGGCCGUGAAGAACGGUCUUUGACCUAUUCUAGGAAGAAGCUUGGGCUAAGUUCGUG